GGGGAGCAAACAGGAUUAGAUACCCUGGAAGUCCACGCAGUAAACGAUGAAUGUUAGUCGUCGGGUAGCUAGUCUAUUCGGUGAUGCAGCUAACGCAUUAAACAUUCCGCCUGGGGAGUACGGUCGCAAGAUUAAAACUCAAAGGAAUAGACGGGGACCCGCACAAGUGGUGGAGCAUGUGGUUUAAUUCGAAGAUACGCGAAGAACCUUACCUAGCCUUGACAUAUAUUAGAAUCUUUCAGAGAUGAGAGAGUGCCUUCGGGAGCUUUUAUACAGGUGCUGCACGGCUGUCGUCAGCUCGUGUCGUGAGAUGUUGGGUUAAGUCCCGCAACGAGCGCAACCCUCGUCACUAGUUACUAACGGUUCGGCCGAGGACUCUAGUGAGACUGCCUUCGUAAGGAGGAGGAAGGUGAGGACGACGUCAAGUCAUCAUGGCCCUUACGGCUAGGGCAACACACGUGCUACAAUGGUUGGGACAAUGAGACGCAAUACCGCGAGGUGGAGCAAAUCUAUAAACCCAAUCUCAGUUCGGAUUGUUCUCUGCAACUCGAGAACAUGAAGCUGGAAUCACUAGUAAUCGUAGAUCAGCCUAUGCGGCGGUG
RNAcentral lists this ribosomal RNA (602 nucleotides) under uncultured Campylobacterota bacterium. RNAcentral's name for it is "bacterial SSU rRNA". It matches the Rfam family "Bacterial small subunit ribosomal RNA", at positions 763 to 1364 of the family's 1533-position model. The record is from RNAcentral. Lineage: Bacteria; Pseudomonadati; Campylobacterota.